AAAUAUUGAACUUGCAAGGCUCAAAUGCAUCAUCAUCAGAAGUUAAGUCUAUUAGAAAACCACCAAAUGCCAGGUACGUGAACUCUUGCUCAAUAAUAUUCACAAUUGGUCCAUUCAUGGAUAUAAUACUGUUUGAUAGCUGACCAACCGAAAGCUUUACAUGGAUUUGAUACUUCGAAAGCACGAUUAUGUUGAUAGCAAGCCAGGACACAAUGUAAGUUUAUAGGUAUUUAUUCCUCUAUUAUCAUAAAAAGAAGCCAAAUUCAACAUAGAAGCUACAAAUGUAUUUGUCAGGACAGAGAAUUGUUGGUCUCUCGAUUGAACUAACCUGAAGAUAUUUACCCGGCCCUAUGUAUGAUACAGCCAAAGGAUAAUGAAUAUUGAUUACCACUCACCAUUUCUUUUUUAUGAGUGUAUUAGGAAGGUAUAAUUAGACAUUAUCUUAAAAUACAUUAAUGAUGUAACUUGUUAAUACACUUAUAGUAAAAUAGGAUUGUCUAUGUUAAUAAAUCUUAAUACCAAAGUCAAUUUUUUCGA
Glycine soja is the source of this 537-nucleotide long non-coding RNA. RefSeq lists it as uncharacterized. The record is from RefSeq and is a predicted model, not a curated record. Lineage: Eukaryota; Viridiplantae; Streptophyta; Magnoliopsida; Fabales; Fabaceae. The transcript has 2 exons.